RNAcentral lists this long non-coding RNA (1125 nucleotides) under Anser brachyrhynchus (Pink-footed goose). RNAcentral describes it as "lncRNA (ENSABRG00000020440.1)". The record is from RNAcentral. Lineage: Eukaryota; Metazoa; Chordata; Aves; Anseriformes; Anatidae.
AUGGAGCCUGCUGCCCCGUCAGGUCUCUGCCCAGCUUCCCAGGGGGAGCCACAGCUCUGGGCAUCGGGGCUGGUGCGUUGGAGAGGGGCUUUGCAAACCCAACGGCCUGGAUUUGGUGGGUGCAGUGGUGCUGGCCCACCUGCAGGUGACAUAAAGGACUGGCAGCUUCGUCUCCCCGUCCCCCUCCGGGCAGCUCCCAGCUUGAUUUUUGGGAGCAGCCGCCAGGCACGGUGCUUGGCCUGCACCCCGUGCACCAAGCACCAGUCGGUGCCGGCCGCGGGGAGCAGCGGGGGCAUCGCGGGGACCUGGGGGGCUGCGAGAGCUGCGGCCCCCUCCCCAUCCCACGGGCAUCAGGGUGAGCUCAGCCCGGCCGUGGCCGUGCCCCCUCGGCCCUGCCCGGCUCCCACACCAGGCUGGGGCUGGCAGACGGCGCAGGCCGCAUUUACACGGCGAUAUUUAAAGCCCGACCGGGUGGGAAGCGAAGGAAUCAAUUUCCCAAGUGGGAGGGCGGGGUGUUAUUUUUAUAUAUCAUUGGAUACGCAGCUUAAAUCUGGCCCUGGAAAGUGGAGAGGAAACGGGUGGGGAAGGGAAAUCACGUCCUGGCGCUGUCGCAGGCUCCGGGCGAGCUGGCAGAAUCACGCCUGGGGUGGCGGGAGGGGACGGGGACCCCUGCGGCAUCGCCAUUGGGUCCGUCCCUGCAGCCCAGGAAGCUGCAGCGAGCGCUGGGUGCAAAACGCAGACGGUGAAAGGGAAGAAAAAACCCAUCGAGGCUGUGUCGGUGCUGGGAGCUGCUCAGCACGGGGCUCCCAACCGGGGCUGGGGCCACCUUAUCCCAUGGCUGCUGCCCCCCCAGCUCUGCCCAGCGGGGCGCAGGCUGCAUUUUGGCCCCAGCCCCUCAGCACCCGGUGCCCUGGGGCCCUGAGGGUCCGUGCAGGUCGUCGAGCUGCCCGGGUGCUGCGGGAUGCUGGGGGUGCUGCAGGUGCUGUGGUGCUCAGCCCGCACCACAGGCAGCCAGGGGCCGAUCCUGCGCCGUGCCGGCUCCGGCCCUCCUGCCCCUGCCAAGGGAGCAAGCAGCCGGGGACGUGCCAUCUCCCCACUGCCGAGCCGUCUUCUGUACUUAAUUAA